GACGAACGCUGGCGGCGUGCCUAAUACAUGCAAGUAGAACGCUGAAGAGAGGAGCUUGCUCUUCUUGGAUGAGUUGCGAACGGGUGAGUAACGCGUAGGUAACCUGCCUUGUAGCGGGGGAUAACUAAUGGAAACGACAGCUAAUACCGCAUAACAAUGGAUGACACAUGUCAUUUAUUUGAAAGGGGCAAUUGCUCCACUACAAGAUGGACCUGCGUUGUAUUAGCUAGUAGGUGAGGUAAUGGCUCACCUAGGCGACGAUACAUAGCCGACCUGAGAGGGUGCUCGGCCACACUGGGACUGAGACACGGCCCAGACUCCUACGGGAGGCAGCAGUAGGGAAUCUUCGGCAAUGGGGGCAACCCUGACCGAGCAACGCCGCGUGAGUGAAGAAGGUUUUCGGAUCGUAAAGCUCUGUUGUAAGUCAAGAACGGGUGUGAGAGUGGAAAGUUCACACUGUGACGGUAGCUUAACAGAAAGGGACGGCUAACUACGUG
This 497-nucleotide ribosomal RNA is filed under the name uncultured bacterium. Its description in RNAcentral is "partial 16S ribosomal RNA". It matches the Rfam family "Bacterial small subunit ribosomal RNA", at positions 28 to 507 of the family's 1533-position model. The record is from RNAcentral.